CGUGAGGGAAAGGCGAAAAGAACCCCGGCGAGGGGAGUGAAAAAGAACCUGAAACCGUGUACGUACAAGCAGUGGGAGCCUCUUUUAUGGGGUGACUGCGUACCUUUUGUAUAAUGGGUCAGCGACUUAUAUUCUGUAGCAAGGUUAACCGAAUAGGGGAGCCGAAGGGAAACCGAGUCUUAACUGGGCGUUAAGUUGCAGGGUAUAGACCCGAAACCCGGUGAUCUAGCCAUGGGCAGGUUGAAGGUUGGGUAACACUAACUGGAGGACCGAACCGACUAAUGUUGAAAAAUUAGCGGAUGACUUGUGGCUGGGGGUGAAAGGCCAAUCAAACCGGGAGAUAGCUGGUUCUCCCCGAAAGCUAUUUAGGUAGCGCCUCGUGAAUUCAUCUCCGGGGGUAGAGCACUGUUUCGGCAAGGGGGUCAUCCCGACUUACCAACCCGAUGCAAACUGCGAAUACCGGAGAAUGUUAUCACGGGAGACACACGGCGGGUGCUAACGUCCGUCGUGAAGAGGGAAACAACCCAGACCGCCAGCUAAGGUCCCAAAGUCAUGGUUAAGUGGGAAACGAUGUGGGAAGGCCCAGACAGCCAGGAUGUUGGCUUAGAAGCAGCCAUCAUUUAAAGAAAGCGUAAUAGCUCACUGGUCGAGUCGGCCUGCGCGGAAGAUGUAACGGGGCUAAACCAUGCACCGAAGCUGCGGCAGCGACGCUUAUGCGUUGUUGGGUAGGGGAGCGUUCUGUAAGCCUGUGAAGGUGUGCUGUGAGGCAUGCUGGAGGUAUCAGAAGUGCGAAUGCUGACAUAAGUAACGAUAAAGCGGGUGAAAAGCCCGCUCGCCGGAAGACCAAGGGUUCCUGUCCAACGUUAAUCGGGGCAGGGUGAGUCGACCCCUAAGGCGAGGCCGAAAGGCGUAGUCGAUGGGAAACAGGUUAAUAUUCCUGUACUUGGUGUUACUGCGAAGGGGGGACGGAGAAGGCUAUGUUGGCCGGGCGACGGUUGUCCCGGUUUAAGCGUGUAGGCUGGUUUUCCAGGCAAAUCCGGAAAAUCAAGGCUGAGGCGUGAUGACGAGGCACUACGGUGCUGAAGCAACAAAUGCCCUGCUUCCAGGAAAAGCCUCUAAGCAUCAGGUAACAUCAAAUCGUACCCCAAACCGACACAGGUGGUCAGGUAGAGAAUACCAAGGCGCUUGAGAGAACUCGGGUGAAGGAACUAGGCAAAAUGGUGCCGUAACUUCGGGAGAAGGCACGCUGAUAUGUAGGUGAAGUCCCUUGCGGAUGGAGCUGAAAUCAGUCGAAGAUACCAGCUGGCUGCAACUGUUUAUUAAAAACACAGCACUGUGCAAACACGAAAGUGGACGUAUACGGUGUGACGCCUGCCCGGUGCCGGAAGGUUAAUUGAUGGGGUCAGCGCAAGCGAAGCUCUUGAUCGAAGCCCCGGUAAACGGCGGCCGUAACUAUAACGGUCCUAAGGUAGCGAAAUUCCUUGUCGGGUAAGUUCCGACCUGCACGAAUGGCGUAAUGAUGGCCAGGCUGUCUCCACCCGAGACUCAGUGAAAUUGAACUCGCUGUGAAGAUGCAGUGUACCCGCGGCAAGACGGAAAGACCCCGUGAACCUUUACUAUAGCUUGACACUGAACAUUGAGCCUUGAUG
Molecule: ribosomal RNA, 1649 nt
Filed under: Escherichia coli
Lineage: Bacteria; Pseudomonadati; Pseudomonadota; Gammaproteobacteria; Enterobacterales; Enterobacteriaceae
Description: bacterial LSU rRNA
Rfam family: Bacterial large subunit ribosomal RNA
Source: RNAcentral